Molecule: small nuclear RNA, 107 nt
Filed under: Prolemur simus (greater bamboo lemur)
Lineage: Eukaryota; Metazoa; Chordata; Mammalia; Primates; Lemuridae
Source: RNAcentral
GUGCUCGCUUCGGCAGCACAUAUACUAAAGUUGGAACGAUACAGAGAAGAUUAGCAUGGCCCCUGCGCAAGGAUGACAUGAAAAAAAAAAUAGUGAGUAAAUGACGU